Molecule: ribosomal RNA, 255 nt
Filed under: uncultured bacterium
Lineage: Bacteria
Description: partial 16S ribosomal RNA
Rfam family: Bacterial small subunit ribosomal RNA
Source: RNAcentral
CGGAAGGGGCUAGCGUUGUUCGGAUUUACUGGGCGUAAAGCGCAUGUAGGCGGCGGAUCAAGUGGGGCGUGAAAGGCCUGGGCUCAACCUGGGAACUGCGCUUCAGACUGGUUCGCUCGAGUUCGGGAGAGGGUGGUGGAAUUCCCAGUGUAGAGGUGAAAUUCGUAGAUAUUGGGAGGAACACCGGUGGCGAAGGCGGCCACCUGGCCCGAGACUGACGCUCAAGUGCGAAAAGCGUGGGGAGCAAACAGGAUU